RNAcentral lists this ribosomal RNA (179 nucleotides) under Gaultheria nummularioides. RNAcentral describes it as "5.8S ribosomal RNA". The stretch from base 1 to 140 matches the Rfam family "5.8S ribosomal RNA", at positions 17 to 154 of the family's 154-position model. From Rfam's summary of the family: 5.8S ribosomal RNA (5.8S rRNA) is a component of the large subunit of the eukaryotic ribosome. It is transcribed by RNA polymerase I as part of the 45S precursor that also contains 18S and 28S rRNA. Functionally, it is thought that 5.8S rRNA may be involved in ribosome translocation. The record is from RNAcentral. Lineage: Eukaryota; Viridiplantae; Streptophyta; Magnoliopsida; Ericales; Ericaceae.
UAUCUCGGCUCUUGCAUCGAUGAAGAACGUAGCGAAAUGCGAUACUUGGUGUGAAUUGCAGAAUCCCGUGAACCAUCGAGUCUUUGAACGCAAGUUGCGCCUGAAGCCAUUAGGUUGAAGGCACGUCUGCCUGGGCGUCACGCAUUGCGUCACCCACUCCCCCGUGCCUGAGCGGGCAU